GUCGUCAUGGCUGAGUGGUUAAGGCGAUGGACUUGAAAUCCAUUGCGGUGUCGCCGUGCAGGUUUGAAUCCUGCCGACCAUG
RNAcentral lists this transfer RNA (82 nucleotides) under Loxodonta africana (African savanna elephant). It matches the Rfam family "tRNA". From Rfam's summary of the family: Transfer RNA (tRNA) molecules are approximately 80 nucleotides in length. Their secondary structure includes four short double-helical elements and three loops (D, anti-codon, and T loops). Lineage: Eukaryota; Metazoa; Chordata; Mammalia; Proboscidea; Elephantidae. The record is from Rfam by way of RNAcentral.